RNAcentral lists this ribosomal RNA (1234 nucleotides) under metagenome. RNAcentral describes it as "bacterial LSU rRNA". It matches the Rfam family "Bacterial large subunit ribosomal RNA", at positions 1564 to 2808 of the family's 2925-position model. The record is from RNAcentral.
UGAAUACGAGAUGCUACGGCGUCGAAGCAGUCUAUGUCAUACUUCCAAGAAAAGCUUGCACUGUCAUAAACAAAUAAUGCCUGUACCAUAACCGACACAGGUGGGUAGGUAGAGUAUACUAAGGGGCGCGAGAUAACUCUCUCUAAGGAACUCGGCAAAAUGACUCCGUAACUUCGGGAGAAGGAGUGCCUUAUUUUAUAAGGUUGCAAUAACAAGAUCCAAGCAACUGUUUACCAAAAACACAGGUCUCCGCUAAGUCGUAAGACGAUGUAUGGGGGCUGACGCCUGCCCAGUGCCAGAAGGUUAAAGAAGUUGGUUAGCAUCCGCGAAGCUGAUAACUGAAGCCCUGGUGAACGGCGGCCGUAACUAUAACGGUCCUAAGGUAGCGAAAUUCCUUGUCGGGUAAGUUCCGACCCGCACGAAAGGCGUAAUGAUUUGGAUACUGUCUCAGAGAGGGGCUCGGUGAAAUAGACUUGUCUAUGAAGAUGCGGACUACCUGCACCAGGACAGAAAGACCCUAUGAAGCUUUACUGUAACUUGAAAUUGAAAUUGGACUUUACUUGCGCAGUAUAGGUGGGAGGCGUUGAGAAUAUUCUUGCGGGAAUGUUGGAGCCAUCAGUGAGAUACCACUCUUGUAAUGUUAGAUUUCUAACUUUGUAUCAUUAUCUGGUCAAAGGACAGUUUCAGGCGGGCAGUUUGACUGGGGCGGUCGCCUCCCAAACGGUAACGGAGGCGCACAAAGGUUUCCUCUGAACGGGUAGAAAUCGUAUCUAGAGUGUAAAGGCAUAAGGAAGCUUGACUGUGAGACCUACAAGUCGAGCAGGGACGAAAGUCGGUCUUAGUGAUCUGACGGUGCUGAGUGGAAAGGCCGUCACUCAACGGAUAAAAGUUACUCUAGGAUAACAGGCUGAUCUCCCCAAGAGUUCACAUCGACGGGGAGGUUUGGCACCUUGAUGUCGGCUCAUCGCAUCCUGGGGCGGUAGUACGUCCCAAGGGUUGGGCUGUUCGCCCAUGAAAGCGGUACGCGAGCUGGGUUCAGAACGUCGUGAGACAGUUCGGUCCAUAUCCGGUGUAGGCGUUAGAAUAUUGAGAGGAGCCUUCUUUAGUACGAGAGGACCGAGAAGGACAUACCUCUGGUGUACCAGUUAUCGUGCCAACGGUAAACGCUGGGUAGCUAUGUAUGGAGUGGAUAACCGCUGAAAGCAUCUAAGUGGGAAGCCCACCUCAAGAUAAG